This 149-nucleotide ribosomal RNA is filed under the name uncultured bacterium. RNAcentral describes it as "partial 16S ribosomal RNA". It matches the Rfam family "Bacterial small subunit ribosomal RNA", at positions 338 to 490 of the family's 1533-position model. The record is from RNAcentral.
CCUACGGGAGGCAGCAGUAAGGAAUAUUGGUCAAUGGACGCAAGUCUGAACCAGCCAUGCCGCGUGCAGGAAGACGGCCCUAUGGGUUGGAAACUGCUUUUGUACGGGAAAAAACCUCCGGUCGUGCACCGAGCUGAUGUACGAGAAUA